AUGAACGUUGGCGGCGUGUUUAAGGCAUGCAAGUCGAGCGACGUGCUCUCGCAAGAGAGUUACGAGCGGCAGACGGGUGAGUAACACAUUAGUAACCUACCUUCGAGACGGGGAUAGCUCGCCGAAAGGCGAAUUAAUACCCGAUGGUCUCCGGUCGCGUGAGCGAUCUGAGUAAAUCCUUUCGGGCUCGAAGAGGGGCUUAUGUCCUAUCAGCUAGUUGGUGAGGUAAAAGCUCACCAAGGCUUUGACGGGUAGCAGGCGUGAGAGCGUGACCUGCCUCACUGGGACUGAGACACUGCCCAGACUCCUACGGGAGGCUGCAGUCGAGAAUAUUCCUCAAUGGACGAAAGUCUGAAGGAGCGACGCCGCGUGCAGGAAGAAGCCCCUCGGGGUGUAAACUGCUUUUAUGUGGGACGAAUUAUUGACGGUACCACAUGAAUAAGAGGUUGCUAACUCUGU
Molecule: ribosomal RNA, 459 nt
Filed under: uncultured bacterium
Lineage: Bacteria
Description: bacterial SSU rRNA
Rfam family: Bacterial small subunit ribosomal RNA
Source: RNAcentral